RNAcentral lists this unclassified non-coding RNA (253 nucleotides) under uncultured cyanobacterium. Its description in RNAcentral is "contains 16S-23S intergenic spacer region". It matches the Rfam family "Bacterial small subunit ribosomal RNA", at positions 524 to 776 of the family's 1533-position model. Lineage: Bacteria; Bacillati; Cyanobacteriota. The record is from RNAcentral.
GACGUAGGGUGCAAGCGUUGUCCGGAAUUAUUGGGCGUAAAGAGUUCGUAGGCGGUCUGCUAAGUCUGAUGUUAAAAACCGGAGCUCAACUCCGACACGGCAUCGGAAACUGGUAGGCUAGAGUAUGGUAGAGGCAAGGGGAAUUCCCGGUGUAGCGGUGAAAUGCGUAGAUAUCGGGAGGAACAUCAGUGGCGAAAGCGCCUUGCUGGGCCAUUACUGACGCUGAGGAACGAAAGCUAGGGUAGCGAAAGGG